RNAcentral lists this ribosomal RNA (502 nucleotides) under uncultured bacterium. Its description in RNAcentral is "bacterial SSU rRNA". It matches the Rfam family "Bacterial small subunit ribosomal RNA", at positions 1028 to 1529 of the family's 1533-position model. The record is from RNAcentral.
AAAGUGACAGGUGGUGCAUGGUUGUCGUCAGCUCGUGUCGUGAGAUGUUGGGUUAGGUCCCGCAACGAGCGCAACCCUUAAGCUUAGUUGCCAGCAUUAAGUUGGGCACUCUAAGUUGACUGCCGGUGACAAACCGGAGGAAGGUGGGGAUGACGUCAAAUCAUCAUGCCCCUUAUGAUUUGGGCUACACACGUGCUACAAUGGACGAUACAAAGGGCAGCUAAACCGCGAGGUCAUGCAAAUCCCAUAAAGUUGUUCUCAGUUCGGGUUGUAGUCUGCAACUCGACUACAUGAAGCUGGAAUCGCUAGUAAUCGUAGAUCAGCAUGCUACGGUGAAUACGUUCCCGGGUCUUGUACACACCGCCCGUCACACCACGAGAGUUUGUAACACCCGAAGCCGGUGGAGUAACCAUUUAUGGAGCUAGCCGUCGAAGGUGGGACAAAUGAUUGGGGUGAAGUCGUAACAAGGUAGCCGUAUCGGAAGGUGCGGCUGGAUCACCUC